CGGAGGGUAGGACAACGGCAGUCCGCCACCUUGGGGUGGUGGUAAUCCGGGUUCAAUUCCCGGCCCUCCGA
RNAcentral lists this transfer RNA (71 nucleotides) under Candidatus Parcubacteria bacterium. RNAcentral describes it as "tRNA-OTHER". It matches the Rfam family "tRNA". From Rfam's summary of the family: Transfer RNA (tRNA) molecules are approximately 80 nucleotides in length. Their secondary structure includes four short double-helical elements and three loops (D, anti-codon, and T loops). Lineage: Bacteria; Candidatus Parcubacteria. The record is from RNAcentral.